Molecule: long non-coding RNA, 200 nt
Filed under: Ananas comosus (pineapple)
Lineage: Eukaryota; Viridiplantae; Streptophyta; Magnoliopsida; Poales; Bromeliaceae
Description: long non-coding RNA (ACOM_LNC013463)
Source: RNAcentral
AUUUUUGACAAAAAGGGGGAGAGCAAUGAUGAACAGGUAUGGGUCGUAGCAAAGGAGAAUAAAGAAUAAAGAACAAAGGGGGAGAAGGAAUGAAUGAAAUUAUGAGGAGAAGAAGGAAUGAAAUUUCGAGAACAAUGAUGAGGAAAAUGACUUCAAUGUGAGAAUGUCUAAUGUUUGUCGUUUUCUACAUUAUUUUGCGC